AUCUCCUGGGUACUCCAACUGGCUAAACAACAGCCCUACCCCCAGUGCUGUGCCUUUGCACAUGCUGCCACCCCCAUCCCCGCUCCUCCUGCUCUAUUGUGGCAGCCUCUCCCCAAAAUGCAACCCCAGGGCCCUGCCCUCAGAAGGCCUCCUGGACCGCCAAGCCCUCAUGUGGCCCUGCUGUCCGUCCCUGCAGCCUCCGUCCCUGAGCCUAGACCCUGAGCCUGGCCCGACAAGGAUCUGGAGAACAUGACAUCACAGUUGAUACAACAGAGUCUCCGAUGGCCCGACCCAGGCAGAGACCUCGGAUCUCUGUGGAAGGACGAGGUCUGGAGAGCAGCCCCUCCUCUGGGAGGGAAUCCCAGGGCAGCCGUGCCUGUCCCCUGUUCCCUCAACCCCCUGUAGGGCUGGCCCCAGCCUCUGUCACACCCUUAUCUACUCCUGCUGGCAUUGCCUGGCAGCGGCGGGGAACCAGGCAGACAUGAGCAGACACCGUC
This 497-nucleotide long non-coding RNA is filed under the name Homo sapiens (human). RNAcentral's name for it is "HSALNT0278446". Lineage: Eukaryota; Metazoa; Chordata; Mammalia; Primates; Hominidae. The record is from RNAcentral.